GAUGAACGCUGGCGGCGUGCCUAAUACAUGCAAGUCGAGCGAACAGACGAGGAGCUUGCUCCUCUGACGUUAGCGGCGGACGGGUGAGUAACACGUGGAUAACCUACCUAUAAGACUGGGAUAACUUCGGGAAGCCGGAGCUAAUACCGGAUAAUAUAUUGAACCGCAUGGUUCAAUAGCGAAAGACGGUUUUGCUGUCACUUAUAGAUGGAUCCGCGCCGCAUUAGCUAGUUGGUAAGGUAACGGCUUACCAAGGCAACGAUGCGUAGCCGACCUGAGAGGGUGAUCGGCCACACUGGAACUGAGACACGGUCCAGACUCCUACGGGAGGCAGCAGUAGGGAAUCUUCCGCAAUGGGCGAAAGCCUGACGGAGCAACGCCGCGUGAGUGAUGAAGGUCUUCGGAUCGUAAAACUCUGUUAUUAGGGAAGAACAAAUGUGUAAGUAACUAUGCACGUCUUGACGGUACCUAAUCAGAAAGCCACGGCUAACUACGUG
RNAcentral lists this ribosomal RNA (497 nucleotides) under uncultured bacterium. RNAcentral describes it as "partial 16S ribosomal RNA". It matches the Rfam family "Bacterial small subunit ribosomal RNA", at positions 28 to 507 of the family's 1533-position model. The record is from RNAcentral.